AGCAUAUAAGUAAGCGGAGGAAAAGAAACUAAAUAGGAUUCCCUUAGUAAUGGCGAAUGAACAGGGAUCAGCUCAGUAUGGAAAUCGGGGCUUCCCAGCCUUGAAUUGUAGUCUCAAGAGGUAUCGCCAACGGAGGCGCAGAUGUAAGCCUCUUGGAAAAGAGCAUCAAUGAGGGUGAGAAUCCCGUUUGUCAUCUGCAGUCCCCCGUGCACGGUGUAUCUUCUAAGAGUCGCGUUCCUCGGGAUUGGAGCGUAAAGUGGGUGGUAAAUUUCAUCUAAGGCUAAAUAUGGGUUCGAGACCGAUAGCAAACAAGUACCAUGAGGGAAAGAUGAAAAGGACUUUGAAAAGAGAGUUAAAAGUGCCUGAAAUUGCUGAAAGGGAAGCGAAUGGAACCAGUGCUCUUGGCGAGAUUGUUGUGCGCUAUGGUGAUUGCUGGCUGCUUCAGCGCAAGCGGGGUAGUUGGUACUGAGCCUGCCGCGCGCAGUGUUUCUUACCUUGUGCGUCACCGUCGGUUCACAGGCGAGGAUACUUCUGAGGACAUGGUAACUCUUCCACGGAGGUGUGAAUGUCUUUGGUAAUACUCGUUUGUAGACCGCUCACCUUCGGGUUACGAUGACUAAAUGGUUCUAUUCGACCCGUCUUGA
This 644-nucleotide ribosomal RNA is filed under the name Amphidoma languida. RNAcentral's name for it is "partial large subunit ribosomal RNA". It matches the Rfam family "Eukaryotic large subunit ribosomal RNA", at positions 37 to 657 of the family's 3401-position model. The record is from RNAcentral. Lineage: Eukaryota; Dinophyceae; Gonyaulacales; Amphidomataceae.